UACGUAGGGGGCGAGCGUUAUCCGGAUUCACUGGGUGUAAAGGGAGCGUAGACGGCCAUGCAAGCCAGGGGUGAAAGCCCGGGGCCCAACCCCGGGACUGCCCUUGGAACUGCAUGGCUGGAGUGCGGGAGGGGCAGACGGAAUUCCUGGUGUAGCGGUGAAAUGCGUAGAUAUCAGGAGGAACACCGGCGGCGAAGGCGGCCUGCUGGACUGCGACUGACGUUGAGGCUCGAAAGCGUGGGGAGCGAACAGG
Molecule: ribosomal RNA, 253 nt
Filed under: uncultured bacterium
Lineage: Bacteria
Description: partial 16S ribosomal RNA
Rfam family: Bacterial small subunit ribosomal RNA
Source: RNAcentral